GUUGAUGUAGCGUGAUCGUGAUGUCCGAGUGCUGCGAGUUUCAAUACUGUUUAUGUAGUCAUUGAGAGUUUAAACAAAGUUUCUUCUGAGAAGAGGAAUUCGAUGGAUGCAUUCAACGUGGACAACAAAAUCAUAAUUUCGUUUGCAUCAUCCUAAGGACCAGUGCAAGUUGAAAUGGGCUUCCAGCCAACAACUUCAACAGCAAUUUGCCAUGAAAAUCACCAAGAAAGGUACUUCAUUUACAUUGAUGAUGUCAUAUCCCCUGGACCCCACAACUUUACAGGUUACAGAGAAAAUUCAAGAACUUCUGCAAAAUGUGGGACUUGGAUAGAAUCAAUAAUGUAUUUGUGAGCCCAGAGCAAUGGAUAUAUUGUGCAACAUACUAAAGUGUGAAUUUAAUGGAAAACAAGUACAUGUACUCAUGUAUUACAUGUCUUUUUUAAAGACAAUAAUAUUGUAUAAUAACCGGCGCGAGCCCCCCUAAAAUUUUCAAGUUUAAAGUAAAUCGUGGUCUCUUGUUUAGAGAAAUAUAUACGAUAAAAGAAACUAUAAUUUCCUCCACUCUCAGAGAAAUAAAUGUCUGACAAAAUCUUUUGAUUUAUUGAAUUACUUUUAGUGGGAGAACUGCUACUUUUUCCAAAAACCCUUAAAAUUUGCGUUAUUUUAUUAAUUUCACCUGA
Long non-coding RNA from Ostrea edulis (European flat oyster), 680 nucleotides. RefSeq lists it as uncharacterized. Lineage: Eukaryota; Metazoa; Mollusca; Bivalvia; Ostreida; Ostreidae. The record is from RefSeq and is a predicted model, not a curated record. The transcript is spliced from 3 exons.